AUUGAACGCUGGCGGCAUGCUUUACACAUGCAAGUCGAACGGUAACAGGUCUUCGGAUGCUGACGAGUGGCGAACGGGUGAGUAAUGCAUCGGAACGUGCCCAGUCGUGGGGGAUAACGCAGCGAAAGCUGUGCUAAUACCGCAUACGAUCUAUGGAUGAAAGCGGGGGAUCGCAAGACCUCGCGCGAUUGGAGCGGCCGAUGUCAGAUUAGCUAGUUGGUGGGGUAAAGGCCCACCAAGGCGACGAUCUGUAGCUGGUCUGAGAGGACGACCAGCCACACUGGGACUGAGACACGGCCCAGACUCCUACGGGAGGCAGCAGUGGGGAAUUUUGGACAAUGGGCGCAAGCCUGAUCCAGCAAUGCCGCGUGCAGGAAGAAGGCCU
RNAcentral lists this ribosomal RNA (385 nucleotides) under uncultured bacterium. Its description in RNAcentral is "bacterial SSU rRNA". It matches the Rfam family "Bacterial small subunit ribosomal RNA", at positions 30 to 417 of the family's 1533-position model. The record is from RNAcentral.